RNAcentral lists this ribosomal RNA (1524 nucleotides) under Escherichia coli. RNAcentral describes it as "bacterial SSU rRNA". It matches the Rfam family "Bacterial small subunit ribosomal RNA". The record is from RNAcentral. Lineage: Bacteria; Pseudomonadati; Pseudomonadota; Gammaproteobacteria; Enterobacterales; Enterobacteriaceae.
GAACGCUGGCGGCAGGCCUAACACAUGCAAGUCGAACGGUAACAGGAAGCAGCUUGCUGCUUUGCUGACGAGUGGCGGACGGGUGAGUAAUGUCUGGGAAACUGCCCGAUGGAGGGGGAUAACUACUGGAAACGGUAGCUAAUACCGCAUAACGUCGCAAGACCAAAGAGGGGGACCUUAGGGCCUCUUGCCAUCGGAUGUGCCCAGAUGGGAUUAGCUAGUAGGUGGGGUAACGGCUCACCUAGGCGACGAUCCCUAGCUGGUCUGAGAGGAUGACCAGCCACACUGGAACUGAGACACGGUCCAGACUCCUACGGGAGGCAGCAGUGGGGAAUAUUGCACAAUGGGCGCAAGCCUGAUGCAGCCAUGCCGCGUGUAUGAAGAAGGCCUUCGGGUUGUAAAGUACUUUCAGCGGGGAGGAAGGGAGUAAAGUUAAUACCUUUGCUCAUUGACGUUACCCGCAGAAGAAGCACCGGCUAACUCCGUGCCAGCAGCCGCGGUAAUACGGAGGGUGCAAGCGUUAAUCGGAAUUACUGGGCGUAAAGCGCACGCAGGCGGUUUGUUAAGUCAGAUGUGAAAUCCCCGGGCUCAACCUGGGAACUGCAUCUGAUACUGGCAAGCUUGAGUCUCGUAGAGGGGGGUAGAAUUCCAGGUGUAGCGGUGAAAUGCGUAGAGAUCUGGAGGAAUACCGGUGGCGAAGGCGGCCCCCUGGACGAAGACUGACGCUCAGGUGCGAAAGCGUGGGGAGCAAACAGGAUUAGAUACCCUGGUAGUCCACGCCGUAAACGAUGUCGACUUGGAGGUUGUGCCCUUGAGGCGUGGCUUCCGGAGCUAACGCGUUAAGUCGACCGCCUGGGGAGUACGGCCGCAAGGUUAAAACUCAAAUGAAUUGACGGGGGCCCGCACAAGCGGUGGAGCAUGUGGUUUAAUUCGAUGCAACGCGAAGAACCUUACCUGGUCUUGACAUCCACGGAAGUUUUCAGAGAUGAGAAUGUGCCUUCGGGAACCGUGAGACAGGUGCUGCAUGGCUGUCGUCAGCUCGUGUUGUGAAAUGUUGGGUUAAGUCCCGCAACGAGCGCAACCCUUAUCCUUUGUUGCCAGCGGUCCGGCCGGGAACUCAAAGGAGACUGCCAGUGAUAAACUGGAGGAAGGUGGGGAUGACGUCAAGUCAUCAUGGCCCUUACGACCAGGGCUACACACGUGCUACAAUGGCGCAUACAAAGAGAAGCGACCUCGCGAGAGCAAGCGGACCUCAUAAAGUGCGUCGUAGUCCGGAUUGGAGUCUGCAACUCGACUCCAUGAAGUCGGAAUCGCUAGUAAUCGUGGAUCAGAAUGCCACGGUGAAUACGUUCCCGGGCCUUGUACACACCGCCCGUCACACCAUGGGAGUGGGUUGCAAAAGAAGUAGGUAGCUUAACCUUCGGGAGGGCGCUUACCACUUUGUGAUUCAUGACUGGGGUGAAGUCGUAACAAGGUAACCGUAGGGGAACCUGCGGUUGGAUCACCUCCUUACCUUAAAGAAGC